UGAGGAAUUUUGCGCAAUGGGGGAAACCCUGACGCAGCAACGCCGCGUGAGUGAAGAAGGCCUUCGGGUCGUAAAGCUCUGUCUAGCGGGAAGAACAUCCCAAAGGUAAAUAGCUUUUGGGACUGACGGUACCGCUGAAGGAAGCACCGGCUAACUCCGUGCCAGCAGCCGCGGUAAUACGGAGGGUGCAAGCGUUAUUCGGAAUCAUUGGGUGUAAAGCGCGUGUAGGCGGCUUGGAAAGUCAGAUGUGAAAGCUUCGGGCUUAACCCGGAAAGUGCAUUUGAAACUCCCUAGCUUGAGUCCCGGAGAGGAAGGUGGAAUUCCCAGUGUAGAGGUGAAAUUCGUAGAUAUUGGGAGGAACACCGGUGGCGAAGGCGACCUUCUGGACGGUGACUGACGCUGAGACACGAAAGCGUGGGUAGCAAACA
Molecule: ribosomal RNA, 428 nt
Filed under: uncultured prokaryote
Description: bacterial SSU rRNA
Rfam family: Bacterial small subunit ribosomal RNA
Source: RNAcentral